RNAcentral lists this ribosomal RNA (458 nucleotides) under uncultured bacterium. RNAcentral's name for it is "partial 16S ribosomal RNA". It matches the Rfam family "Bacterial small subunit ribosomal RNA", at positions 338 to 795 of the family's 1533-position model. The record is from RNAcentral.
CCUACGGGGCGCAGCAGUGAGGAAUAUUGGUCAAUGGGCGAGAGCCUGAACCAGCCAAGUCGCGUGAGGGAGUACUGCCCUAUGGGUUGUAAACCUCUUUUGUCGGGGAGCAAAAGCCGGACGUGUCCGGCUGUGAGAGUACCCGAAGAAAAAGCAUCGGCUAACUCCGUGCCAGCAGCCGCGGUAAUACGGAGGAUGCGAGCGUUAUCCGGAUUUAUUGGGUUUAAAGGGUGCGCAGGCGGAUUUUUAAGUCAGCGGUAAAAUCGUGGGGCUCAACCCCAUCCAGCCGUUGAAACUGGGGAUCUAGAGUGUGCGAGAGGUAUGCGGAAUGCGUGGUGUAGCGGUGAAAUGCAUAGAUAUCACGCAGAACCCCGAUUGUGAAGGCAGCAUACCGGUGCACAACUGACGCUCAGGCACGAAAGCGUGGGUAUCGAACAGGAUUAGAUACCCCUGUAGUC